GAUGAACGCUGGCGGCGUGCCUAAUACAUGCAAGUCGAGCGAACGGACGAGAAGCUUGCUUCUCUGAUGUUAGCGGCGGACGGGUAAGUAACACGUGGAUAACCUACCUAUAAGACUGGGAUAACUUCGGGAAACCGGAGCUAAUACCGGAUAAUAUUUUGAACCGCAUGGUUCAAAAGUGAAAGACGGUCUUGCUGUCACUUAUAGAUGGAUCCGCGCUGCAUUAGCUAGUUGGUAAGGUAACGGCUUACCAAGGCAACGAUGCAUAGCCGACCUGAGAGGGUGAUCGGCCACACUGGAACUGAGACACGGUCCAGACUCCUACGGGAGGCAGCAGUAGGGAAUCUUCCGCAAUGGGCGAAAGCCUGACGGAGCAACGCUGCGUGAGUGAUGAAGGUCUUCGGAUCGUAAAACUCUGUUAUUAGGGAAGAACAUAUGUGUAAGUAACUGUGCACAUCUUGACGGUACCUAAUCAGAAAGCCACGGCUAACUACGUG
Molecule: ribosomal RNA, 497 nt
Filed under: uncultured bacterium
Lineage: Bacteria
Description: partial 16S ribosomal RNA
Rfam family: Bacterial small subunit ribosomal RNA
Source: RNAcentral